Molecule: ribosomal RNA, 1372 nt
Filed under: uncultured bacterium
Lineage: Bacteria
Description: bacterial SSU rRNA
Rfam family: Bacterial small subunit ribosomal RNA
Source: RNAcentral
GAUGAACGCUGGCGGCGUGCCUAAUACAUGCAAGUCGAGCGAACGGACGAGAAGCUUGCUUCUCUGAUGUUAGCGGCGGACGGGUGAGUAACACGUGGAUAACCUACCUAUAAGACUGGGAUAACUUCGGGAAACCGGAGCUAAUACCGGAUAAUAUUUUGAACCGCAUGGUUCAAAAGUGAAAGACGGUCUUGCUGUCACUUAUAGAUGGAUCCGCGCUGCAUUAGCUAGUUGGUAAGGUAACGGCUUACCAAGGCAACGAUGCAUAGCCGACCUGAGAGGGUGAUCGGCCACACUGGAACUGAGACACGGUCCAGACUCCUACGGGAGGCAGCAGUAGGGAAUCUUCCGCAAUGGGCGAAAGCCUGACGGAGCAACGCCGCGUGAGUGAUGAAGGUCUUCGGAUCGUAAAACUCUGUUAUUAGGGAAGAACAUAUGUGUAAGUAACUGUGCACAUCUUGACGGUACCUAAUCAGAAAGCCACGGCUAACUACGUGCCAGCAGCCGCGGUAAUACGUAGGUGGCAAGCGUUAUCCGGAAUUAUUGGGCGUAAAGCGCGCGUAGGCGGUUUUUUAAGUCUGAUGUGAAAGCCCACGGCUCAACCGUGGAGGGUCAUUGGAAACUGGAAAACUUGAGUGCAGAAGAGGAAAGUGGAAUUCCAUGUGUAGCGGUGAAAUGCGCAGAGAUAUGGAGGAACACCAGUGGCGAAGGCGACUUUCUGGUCUGUAACUGACGCUGAUGUGCGAAAGCGUGGGGAUCAAACAGGAUUAGAUACCCUGGUAGUCCACGCCGUAAACGAUGAGUGCUAAGUGUUAGGGGGUUUCCGCCCCUUAGUGCUGCAGCUAACGCAUUAAGCACUCCGCCUGGGGAGUACGACCGCAAGGUUGAAACUCAAAGGAAUUGACGGGGACCCGCACAAGCGGUGGAGCAUGUGGUUUAAUUCGAAGCAACGCGAAGAACCUUACCAAAUCUUGACAUCCUUUGACAACUCUAGAGAUAGAGCUUUCCCCUUCGGGGGACAAAGUGACAGGUGGUGCAUGGUUGUCGCCAGCUCGUGUCGUGAGAUGUUGGGUUAAGUCCCGCAACGAGCGCAACCCUUAAGCUUAGUUGCCAUCAUUAAGUUGGGCACUCUAAGUUGACUGCCGGUGACAAACCGGAGGAAGGUGGGGAUGACGUCAAAUCAUCAUGCCCCUUAUGAUUUGGGCUACACACGUGCUACAAUGGACAAUACAAAGGGCAGCGAAACCGCGAGGUCAAGCAAAUCCCAUAAAGUUGUUCUCAGUUCGGAUUGUAGUCUGCAACUCGACUACAUGAAGCUGGAAUCGCUAGUAAUCGUAGAUCAGCAUGCUACGGUGAAUACGUUCCCGGGUCU